ACGGAAGGCAGCAGUGGGGAAUAUUGCACAAUGGGCGCAAGCCUGAUGCAGCGAUGCCGCGUGAGGGAAGAAGGUUUUCGGAUUGUAAACCUCUGUCAACAGGGACGAUAAUGACUGUACCUGUGAAGGAAGCUCCGGCUAACUACGUGCCAGCAGCCGCGGUAACACGUAGGGAGCAAGCGUUAUCCGGAAUUACUGGGUGUAAAGGGAGUGUAGGCGGGACUGUAAGUCAGAUGUGAAAUAUGCCGGCUCAACCCAUGAACUGCAUUUGAAACUGCAACUCUUGAGUGAGGUAGAGGUAAGCGGAAUUCCUAGUGUAGCGGUGAAAUGCGUAGAUAUUAGGAGGAACAUCAGUGGCGAAGGCGGCUUACUGGGCUUUAACUGACGCUGAGGCUCGAAAGCGUGGGGAGCAAACAGGAUUAGAUACCCUGGUA
This 434-nucleotide ribosomal RNA is filed under the name uncultured Ruminococcus sp. RNAcentral's name for it is "partial 16S ribosomal RNA". It matches the Rfam family "Bacterial small subunit ribosomal RNA", at positions 341 to 792 of the family's 1533-position model. The record is from RNAcentral. Lineage: Bacteria; Bacillati; Bacillota; Clostridia; Eubacteriales; Oscillospiraceae.